This 424-nucleotide ribosomal RNA is filed under the name uncultured bacterium. Its description in RNAcentral is "partial 16S ribosomal RNA". It matches the Rfam family "Bacterial small subunit ribosomal RNA", at positions 359 to 776 of the family's 1533-position model. The record is from RNAcentral.
CAUUUUGGACAAUGUGCGCAAGCCUGAUCCAGCCAUGCAGCGUGAGUGAAGACCGCCUUCGGGUCGUAAAGCUCUUUCGGACGGUAAGCAAUCGCGCCGGCAACUACUCUGCGCGCCUGACGGUACCGCCCUCAGAAGCCCCGGCUACCUACGUGCCAGCAGCCGCGGUAGUACGUAGGGUGCGAGCGUUAAUCGGAAUUACGGGGCGUAAAGCGUGCGCGGGCGGUUGAUUAAGACAGGCGUGAAAUCCCCGGGCUUAACCUGGGAACUGCGCUUGUGACUGGUCAGCUAGAGUACGGCAGAGGGGGGUGGAAUUCCACGUGUAGCAGUGAAAUGCGUAGAGAUGUGGAGGAACACCGAUGGCGAAGGCAGCCCCCUGGGCCGAUACUGACGCUCAUGCACGAAAGCGUGGGUAGCAAACAGG